RNAcentral lists this long non-coding RNA (1282 nucleotides) under Vombatus ursinus (common wombat). Its description in RNAcentral is "lncRNA (ENSVURG00010023505.1)". The record is from RNAcentral. Lineage: Eukaryota; Metazoa; Chordata; Mammalia; Diprotodontia; Vombatidae.
AAGAGACAGAGCUGACACGAAGAGGGGAAAAAAUUCCCAGAGUUUUUCAUGAGCUUCGCAAAGAAGGAAUCAGCAGAAAAUGGAUUUGUGCCUCAGUUUCUCUUAAGCUGCACUGGAAAUGAAAAUGACAUGCAGCUGAAGCACCACCUGCUGAGAGGUUUUAUAUGGAGGAGAACAGGGUCUUUGGCAUCUCCUUGCUGUCCAGCCAUGGCAACAGAAACUCAUCUAAGACCCAGAAGGAAAGAGGAGGGGAACAGACACCCAGAGAGAAACCAGGCAUAACCCUGGUAACUCAACCAUAACUCAACCCUGUCCACCCACAUGACUCCAAGAUGGAGAACAGACUUCCUCUUCUGGCUCCUCUCUCCCAGAAUUCUCCCAAAGCAAGGGUUCUUAACCUGGAGUCUAUGAAUUUGCAUUUUAAUUGAUUUGGGGAACUAUUUUGGUUUCUUUUGUAAUACUAUAUAUUUUAUUUUAUGCAUUUAAAAACAUUAUUCUGAGAAGAAGUCUGUAGACCUAACCCAGACUGACACAGGGGUCUGUGACCUACAAAAGAUUGAGAAUCCCUGUCCUAAAGCAAAAUCCCAUAAAUCCAGAUUCAAAGCUGGUCACCAAUUGGCAAACUCUGAUGUAGUCUCUACUCACCUCCAUAGCAGCGCUUGGGAUACAGGUGCUACAUCAUGACAAUGAUGAUGCUGGCUGAUAUUAUAGGUUUUUUAUAUAUUUAUAGCUUUUCUGACUUGUUUACAGAUGUUAUCUGGUGCAGCAAAUAACGUUGAACCUGGAGUCAGGAAGACCUGAAUUCAAAUCCAGCCUCAGAUACUUGCCAGCUGAGUGAUCCUGGACAAGUCACUCAAUCUCUGCUUGCCUUAGCUUCCUUUUCUUUAAAAUUAAGAUAAUGAUAGCACCUAUCUACCAGGAUUAUGGUAAGGAUAAAAUGAGAUAAUAUUUUUAAAGUGCUUUGUAAAUCUUAACUAUAUAUGCUAGUUAUUAUUAUUUCACUGGAUCUUCACAAUAAUUCUGUGAAGUUUAGGCACAGCCAAUGUUAUUUAUCUCCAUUUUACUGAUUAGGAAAUGGAGUCACAGACAUUCUGCCAAACAGAUACUGUAGAGGAAAUACUUUGGAGGUGUUUUCGCAAGAGAUCAAAUAAUUGUUGUGGUAAAAGAUGAAAUGACUGAGGAAAGCAGAGGUGCAAACUUCUGAGUGUAUUGAUUUAUUAAAAGAAUGCAUACCAAUUGCCUAACAAAUUGGGACAAAAUUUCUUCAGCUUAGCCCUAGACU